GAACUGCGAUAAGUAAUGUGAAUUGCAGAAUUCAGUGAAUCAUCGAGUCUUUGAACGCACAUUGCGCCCCCUGGCAUUCCGGGGGGCAUGCCUGUCCGAGCGUCAUUACAACCCUCAGGCCCCCGGGCCUGGCGUUGGGGAUCGGCGGAAGCCCCCUGCGGGCACAACGCCGUCCCCCAAAUACAGUGGCGGUCCCGCCGCAGCUUCCAUUGCGUAGUAGCUAACACCUCGCAACUGGAGAGCGGCGCGGCCACGCCGUAAAACACCCAACUUCUGAAUGUUGACCUCGAAUCAGGUAGGAAUACCCGCUGAACUUAAGC
Molecule: unclassified non-coding RNA, 320 nt
Filed under: plant metagenome
Description: partial contains 5.8S ribosomal RNA, internal transcribed spacer 2, and large subunit ribosomal RNA
Rfam family: 5.8S ribosomal RNA (bases 1-105)
Source: RNAcentral